Molecule: ribosomal RNA, 252 nt
Filed under: uncultured bacterium
Lineage: Bacteria
Description: partial 16S ribosomal RNA
Rfam family: Bacterial small subunit ribosomal RNA
Source: RNAcentral
UACGGGGGGGCAAGCGUUGUUCGGAAUUACUGGGCGUAAAGGGCUCGUAGGCGGCCAACUAAGUCGGACGUGAAAUCCCCAGGCUCAACCUGGGAACUGCGUCCGAUACUGGAUGGCUUGAAUCCGGGAGAGGGAUGCAGAAUUCCAGGUGUAGCGGUGAAAUGCGUAGAUAUCUGGAGGAAUACCGGUGGCGAAGGCGGCAUCCUGGACCGGCAUUGACGCUGAGGCGCGAAAGCCAGGGGAGCAAACGGG